Molecule: long non-coding RNA, 884 nt
Organism: Cuculus canorus (common cuckoo)
Lineage: Eukaryota; Metazoa; Chordata; Aves; Cuculiformes; Cuculidae
Exons: 3
Source: RefSeq, a predicted model, not a curated record
GUGGAUCCGUAUGGAUAGGUAUGUCCGCAUCGAUGGGUGCGUCCAUAUGGAUAGAUGUAUCCGGAUGGCUUUGCCUUCUCCGCUCAAUUCAGCAUCUCCUUCCCAUCUGCCCUUCUCAUCAUUGAUCUGCCUCCAGCGUUGUCCCAGAGGACAGCCUGGUUUGAAGACAAUGAGAGCUCCAGAUCAUUGGAUCUGACCUCAGAUGCACUUCAGUUUUCCACUCAGACUGUAUCAUUAAAUAUGAGAUCAAGCUUCCCAUAAACCAGCUGUCUUUACAAGAGAUACAAGUGAUACAUAAUAAUCAUAAAUACAACUUUUUCUGUAUGGACACGAAUUGAGCUUCCGCUUCGCCUCGAGCAUUGUCAAAGCUGAAAAUCCUCCCUGCCCGAAUACUUAGACUUUAUUCAACCUCAACAUCAAAACAGUCAUUCAUCUCUUUUUAUGAUCAAACAAUGGUCAAACUUGUUGAAAGACUGAAGAAACAGAACAGGAAUUCAGCAUAAAUCAGCGCUCCCUGGUAGAACUAAGUUCAUACUGUGAACAAAGGGAAUUCCAUUUUGGCAGAGGACAAAGUUCAACCUGUAGCUGGUGUCAGACUGACACAAAAAAAACCCUAGCUAUUCCACACAGAGUUGAUUAAACAUCAGCUUGUACCCCAAAGAUCGCUUCACCAGGCACAAACCCAUGCCAGUCACAUCCGUAUCACCGUCUGUGAAAACUAGGGCUCAUGUUCAUUUAUUAGGCCAGUAUGAGGGCAAUGGCUGCAAAUGGAGCAAGAGGGGUAUAAUCAGGCCCUGAGUCCAGCUGCAAAAGCCAGCCGACAGGCUUUUAACAAUGAGGGAAAUAGUGCCUUAUUCCUCAAAUCAUCUGUUCCCAUGUGUGGG